UACAUGCAAGUCGAACGCUUUGUCUUUAAUUGAUAUGACGAGCUUGCUCUGAUGUGAUUUUAUCUGACAAAGAGUGGCGAACGGGUGAGUAACACGUGGGUAACCUACCUCUUAGCAGGGGAUAACAUUUGGAAACAAGUGCUAAUCCGUAUAAUACCAACAACCGCAUGGUUGUUGGUUGAAAGAUGGUUCUGCUAUCACUAAGAGAUGGACCCGCGGUGCAUUAGCUAGUUGGUAAGGUAACGGCUUACCAAGGCAAUGAUGCAUAGCCGAGUUGAGAGACUGAUCGGCCACAAUGGGACUGAGACACGGCCCAUACUCCUACGGGAGGCAGCAGUAGGGAAUCUUCCACAAUGGGCGCAAGCCUGAUGGAGCAACGCCGCGUGUGUGAUGAAGGGUUUCGGCUCGUAAAACACUGUUAUAAGAGAAGAACGGCACUGAGAGUAACUGUUCAGUGUGUGACGGUAUCUUACCAGAAAGGAACGGCUAAAUACGUGCCAGCAGCCGCGGUAAUACGUAUGUUCCAAGCGUUAUCCGGAUUUAUUGGGCGUAAAGCGAGCGCAGACGGUUAUUUAAGUCUGAAGUGAAAGCCCUCAGCUCAACUGAGGAAUGGCUUUGGAAACUGGAUGA
RNAcentral lists this ribosomal RNA (630 nucleotides) under Weissella paramesenteroides. RNAcentral's name for it is "bacterial SSU rRNA". It matches the Rfam family "Bacterial small subunit ribosomal RNA", at positions 52 to 640 of the family's 1533-position model. The record is from RNAcentral. Lineage: Bacteria; Bacillati; Bacillota; Bacilli; Lactobacillales; Lactobacillaceae.